RNAcentral lists this ribosomal RNA (365 nucleotides) under uncultured bacterium. RNAcentral's name for it is "bacterial SSU rRNA". It matches the Rfam family "Bacterial small subunit ribosomal RNA", at positions 148 to 529 of the family's 1533-position model. The record is from RNAcentral.
AGUUGGAAACGACUGCUAAUACCGCAUAAGCCCACAGGUCGGCAUCGACCAGAGGGAAAAGGAGCAAUCCGCUUUGAGAUGGCCUCGCGUCCGAUUAGCUAGUUGGUGAGGUAACGGCCCACCAAGGCGACGAUCGGUAGCCGGACUGAGAGGUUGAACGGCCACAUUGGGACUGAGACACGGCCCAGACUCCUACGGGAGGCAGCAGUGGGGAAUAUUGCACAAUGGGGGAAACCCUGAUGCAGCGACGCCGCGUGGAGGAAGAAGGUCUUCGGAUUGUAAACUCCUGUUGUUGAGGAAGAUAAUGACGGUACUCAACAAGGAAGUGACGGCUAACUACGUGCCAGCAGCCGCGGUAAAACGUA